CUUGACCGACCCCAGCCACAGCGGCUCCUCGCGGUCGCGGCCGUAGGUGGCCAGCAACGCCUGCGCCUC
This 69-nucleotide antisense RNA is filed under the name Micromonospora sp. ATCC 39149. Its description in RNAcentral is "ASpks TB sRNA". It matches the Rfam family "ASpks TB sRNA". The record is from Rfam by way of RNAcentral. Lineage: Bacteria; Bacillati; Actinomycetota; Actinomycetes; Micromonosporales; Micromonosporaceae.